This 509-nucleotide ribosomal RNA is filed under the name uncultured marine eukaryote. RNAcentral describes it as "SSU rRNA". It matches the Rfam family "Eukaryotic small subunit ribosomal RNA", at positions 617 to 1129 of the family's 1831-position model. The record is from RNAcentral.
GGUUAAAAAGCUCGUAGUUGGAUUUCUGUUGAGGAUGACCGGUCCGCUCUUUGAGCGCGUAUCUGGUUCAGCCUUGGCAUCCUCUUGGGGAACGCUACUGUGCUUGAUUGCAUGGGGCGGUAUUCAAGACUUUUACUUUGAGGAAAUUAGAGUGUUCACUGCAAGCGUUAGCAAUUGAAUACAUUAGCAUGGAAUAAUAAUAUAGGACCUUGGUACUAUUUUGUUGGUUUCUAGAACUAAGGUAAUGAUUAAUAGGGACAAUUGGGGGCAUUCGUAUUAACGCGUCAGAGGUGGAAUUCUUAGAUUGCGUUACGACGAACUACUGCGAAAGCAUUUGCCAAGGAUGUUUUCAUUGAUCAAGAACGAAAGUAUGGGGAUCGAAGACGCUUAGAUACCGUCGUAGUCUAUACCAUAAACUAUGCCAACUAGAGAUUGGAGGUCGUUCUCUUUAUGACUCCUUCAGCACCUUAUGAGAAAUCAAAGUCUUUGGGUUCCGGGGGGAGUAUGGU